RNAcentral lists this ribosomal RNA (568 nucleotides) under Streptococcus mutans. Its description in RNAcentral is "bacterial SSU rRNA". It matches the Rfam family "Bacterial small subunit ribosomal RNA", at positions 371 to 930 of the family's 1533-position model. The record is from RNAcentral. Lineage: Bacteria; Bacillati; Bacillota; Bacilli; Lactobacillales; Streptococcaceae.
AUGGACGAAAGUCUGACCGAGCAACGCCGCGUGAGUGAAGAAGGUUUUCGGAUCGUAAAGCUCUGUUGUAAGUCAAGAACGUGCGUGAGAGUGGAAAGUUCACACAGUGACGGUAGCUUACCAGAAAGGGACGGCUAACUACGUGCCAGCAGCCGCGGUAAUACGUAGGUCCCGAGCGUUGUCCGGAUUUAUUGGGCGUAAAGGGAGCGCAGGCGGUCAGGAAAGUCUGGAGUAAAAGGCUAUGGCUCAACCAUAGUGUGCUCUGGAAACUGUCUGACUUGAGUGCAGAAGGGGAGAGUGGAAUUCCAUGUGUAGCGGUGAAAUGCGUAGAUAUAUGGAGGAACACCAGUGGCGAAAGCGGCUCUCUGGUCUGUCACUGACGCUGAGGCUCGAAAGCGUGGGUAGCGAACAGGAUUAGAUACCCUGGUAGUCCACGCCGUAAACGAUGAGUGCUAGGUGUUAGGCCCUUUCCGGGGCUUAGUGCCGGAGCUAACGCAAUAAGCACUCCGCCUGGGGAGUACGACCGCAAGGUUGAAACUCAAAGGAAUUGACGGGGGCCCGCACAAGC